UUUUUUCUUUUUUUUUUUUUUUUUUUUGAGACACAGUUUUGCUCUGUCCCCUAGGUGGGAGUGCAAUGUCACAAUCUUGGCUCACUGCAAUCUCUGCCUCCUAGGUUCAAGAGAUUGUCCUGUCUCAGUCUCCCAAGUAGCUGGGAUUACAAGUGUGUGUCACCACACCUGGCUAAUUUUUGUAUAUUUAGUAGAGGUGGGUUUUCAUGUUGGCCAGGCUGGUCUUGAACUCCUGACCUCAGGAGAUCCGCCCGCCUCGGCCUCCCAAAAUGCUGGGAUUACAGGCAUGAGCCACUGUGCCCGGCCAAUAUGCCAUUUUUCAACCCUUAUCUCCCUCCCUCCCUCCCUCCUCUCAUCAUCCCCAGUGUCUAUUGUUGCCGUCUUUAUGUCCAUGUGUACCUAUAAUGUUUAGCUCCCACUCAGAAGUGAGGGCAUAUGGUAUUUGAUUUUCUGUUUCUAUGUUAAUUUGCUUCAGAUAAUGGCCUCCAGCUAUAUUCAUGUUACUGCAAAGGACAUGAUUUCUUUUUUUUUUUUUUUUGAGACGGAGUCCCACUCUGUCGCCCAGGCUGGAGUGCAGUGGCACGAUCUUGGCUCACUGUGACCUCUGCCUCCCAGAUUGCAAUACAAGCAAUCCUCCUGCCUCAGCCUCCUGAGUGGCUGGGACUACAGGUGUGCACCACCACACCCAGCUAAUUUUUGUAUUUUUGGCAGCCACAGGGUUUCACUAUGUUGGCCAGCCUGGUCUUGAACUCCUGACCUCAGGUGAUCCACCUGCCUUUGCCUCCCAAAGUGCUGGGAGUAUAGGAGUGAGCCACUACGCCCAGCCAAUUUCAUUAUUUUUAUGGCUACACUGUAUCCCAUGGUGUAUAUGUACCACAUUUUCUUUAUCCAAUCCACCACUGAUGGGCACCUAAAUUGAUUCAUUGUCUUUGCUAUGGUGAAUAGUGCUACGAUAAGCAUACAAGUGUGUUGGAGGCCGAAAGAAUGAGGGUCGUGAUCAACUCAGUAUACCACUGAAGGCUAUAGAGCAAACAGCAAACUGUUCUCAUAAAUGCAGAAUGUUGGCAAAAAACUGACAAACUGCAUCUGCCGCCCAGAAGGAAUGCUGAGGGCAGUCACGCCCCAGGCACAGUGUUUGUGAUUAUCUACAGGCAUACCUGAAGCCUGUUAGCAAUCAUGUGAACCUGUGAUAAAUCAAGCAGCUGACCAAUGGUUACCUGCUCCUCCCUGCUCUUUCUGCCCAAUAAAUAUGGAGGGCUGUGGAAGCUCAGGGCCCUUGCUCACUAGAGGCAAGGAGCCCCCUGACCCCUUCUUUAAAACAGAUUCUUUUGUCUUAAGUUUUAAUUUCUGCGUUCGUCCUCUUUUGUUCAGUCCUGUAGUAACUGUCACAAGUGGCACCCAAACAGGGAUGGACAGGGACAGACAGGGACAGAUAGAGACUAGCAGGGACUUGCAGAGAUUAGCAGAGACAGACAGGGACAUGAACGAGGAACGUCUGCUGGAGCAGAGAAAGUGAAACUGACCAGAUGAACGAGAAACCCCAGGACGAGUCUGCCGGCAGUGGAUAUAAGGUCAGUGACCUAAAGAGGUACUGGGAGUGGGAAGUUUCUGAAUCAGGGUAACAUGGGCAGAAUUUGUUCAUUAUUUCUGUUUUUUCUGUUUGGAGUUUGGUCUGU
Molecule: long non-coding RNA, 1676 nt
Organism: Macaca fascicularis (crab-eating macaque)
Lineage: Eukaryota; Metazoa; Chordata; Mammalia; Primates; Cercopithecidae
Source: Ensembl